UUGGCAGCAGCGCUGUUGAAGAGUUUGCGAGCAAGAAAUCAGUGUGGAAUGCUUUAUCUCCAAUAGUUUCACAAGUUGCUCUCAGUGUGACUCCAGAGUUUGAGGAGUUUUUCAAGUCCAAUAUGCAGAAGACCACCAUUCUUAUCCCACCCUCCAAUUAGAUCUGAAAAAUUAAUAUUAAUGUUUGUGUAUGAUCGAUCAUCUCCCCUUUCGGUCGAUCAGGCUGUAAUGAAUAAUAUGUUGAGGUGUUGGAUGAUAUUUGAGAAUAUUAAUUAUGACUUCUGAGGAUUGCACUAGAACAGUCUCUCAUUGAAUUACUUUUGAAACUCGUGUAAGAUGUCCAAAUCUCUAUACAAUUAUUGAUGGAUUUUGGUAUUUAUCAAGAUAACAUAAAUUUAAUUUAUAACAUUGAAAAAUAUUGUUUUGAUAUAUUUUUAAUUAAAAAAUAUUUUAUAUCAAAAUAUCAAACAUAUAUGAUUUGAGUAUUAUGUUUGCCUAACCAUUAUAUAAGAAAGUAAUUGGCUUUGAUAUUUAUAUCUUUUUAUUAUUCUAUACUACAUCGAUUGGCAAGACCAUAAAUUACUAGUAUUUUCAUGGAUAGAUAUCAAGGUAUGUAUGUUUUUAUAUUUAAAAAGUAUUUAUAAAAAAAUUAAAUUUUUUUUUAUUUCAAAUUAAUAUUUUUUUUAGUUGUCAAAUAACCAUAAUUUAAGCUGUUAAGUAAGGUCUCAAGAUAUGAUUUAUAUUAUUUUGUAAUAUCAAGGUAUGUAUGUUUUUAUAUUUAAAAAGUAUUUAUAAAAAAAUUAAAAUUUUUAUUUAUUUCAAAUUAAUAUUUUUUUAAGUUGUCAAAGAACUAUAAUUUAAGCUGUUGAGUAAUGUUUCAAGAUAUGAUUUAUAUUAUUUUGUAAUAUACUCCCUCAAGUGAAAGCCCUCUAAGCUUGAAACUUGUAGAGUUUCAUCUUAAGAUGUGUUUAAUUUUUAUCAAAUAAAUAGAAGUAGUGAGAUUCAAACUUGUGACUACUUGGUCAUUAAAGAUAUGAUAUCAUAUCAAAGAACCAUGUCAAAGAAUAAUCUUAACUCAAUAGCUUAAGCUGUUAGAUAAUGUCUCAAGAUAUAAUUUAUAUUAUUCUCUAACAAUGAUAUUUUCAGAUUAUUUUAAUGUGCUGGUAUUAAAAAUAAUUUUAUAAAAAUUAAAUUAAAAAAUAUUAUGAGUUCCAAUUCUUAAUAAAUCUAAAGUUGGAGGAUGAAAUUAAAAUUAAAAAAAAACAUUAAUUGUAAAAUAAAAAAAAAUCAAAGAAAGAAAGAAAAACCAUUAUAAUGAAUAAUAUUUUAUCUAGUGAUAAAACCCCUUCUUUUUAGUUCUAGUUCUUUAUUAAUCAUUGUUAAAAAUUAAAUUCAAACUAAAUUUAAAAAAAAAUUUGAAUCAUGCUUUUAAUUGUACCGUAAAUGGAGUGGUUAGAUGCAUGCAAAGUAGUCCUAAUUUUGUGCAAUCUUUCAAUAAUCACGUACAAUUCCAAUUUGGCUCCAUAAAAUUCUUCCCAUAUUGCUGAAGUUUUCAUCACUUUGUUAAUGUUUCCUCGAGGAAUAAACCUGCCUUCAACUUCAAUUGGCAGAUGAUAUGAGAUAUCCCAACGCCACAUGCAUUAUUGAAUAGGCACUUAUAGAUAUCAAAAAAUAAUAUAAAUUAUAUUCUAAAAUUUUAUUUAAUAAUUUAAAUUAUUAAAUUGAAAUAAUUAUUUGAUAUGAUAUCAAAGUAUUAAUAAUCUAGUGGUCACGAGUUCGAAUCUUAUUAUUUUUAUUUAUUUGAUAAAAAAUAAAUACAAGAUAAUGUGAGCAUGUGUAAAUUUCAAACCUAAAAGACUUUUACUUAAAAAAAACAUAUUAAAAAAAUAAUAUAAAUUAUAUUUUAAAAUAUCAUUUAUAAACUUAAAUUUUUAAAUUAAAAUAUAAUCUUUUAAUAUACUAUUCUAAUGUUAUGCCGUACCAAAACUUUCCAAUAUACUAUUCUAAUGUUAUGCCGUACCAAAACUUUCCUCUGUCUUGAUUACAAAUUUGACUGCAGCAUUGUUAAUUUUGUUGCCGUAGUCUUUUUGGUAACCAAUACUAUACAUAUGAUACAAGUGUCAAGACUCUGGCCAGAGGAAUUCGGUGUCCUUUCGCUAGAAUUAAAGUUGUCAAUUUUAUUUUGAUAGGUAUUUUAUUUUUUUAUUGGAAUGAAAUGUUUUAGUUUUAAAAUAUUUCAACAUGUCGUUUUGAAGUUGUACUUUUAUAUAUAUAUAUAUAUAUAUAUAUAUAUAUAUUCAACAAACAUAAUUUAAAUUCAAGAUAAAUUAAUUAUAAAUUAUACAAUAUAAACACAAUGCCAAACAAAUGUAUAUAAUUUUAAAAUUUAAAAUAUUUAUAAAUAGUUAAGAUUAAAUAGAUCUUUAACUUAAAGUAAUUCAACUUAAACAAAAUAUCAAAAUAUUAUGAAAGUAAAAUGUUUUAACAAAAAUAUUUUAAAUAUAAAAUUAGGUCAAUGUUAUCAAGUGACUAAUAGAAUCUAAAGUAUCCUUUGUUUUGCUCAAAUUCCUACAAAGUAUAAAUAUGAAAAAAAAAACAACAUGAAUAUAAACCAUAUAUGUUAGUGAUAAAUCUAAUUUUAAAAAAUUAAUAUCAUUGUUAAUGAAAAUAGUAAUAAUAAUUUUUAAUAUUAUUAUUAAUAUCAUUGUUAUUGAAAAUAGUAAUGAAAAGAUCUUUUUAUAAUCUAGUGGUUUAAUUAAUGAAAUUGAGUAAGGUUCAAUUUGAUUUAAUAGUUUUUUAAGAGCGGAACGGAACAUGUGGAAUGAAACCAGAAUGUUUCGGGCGAAAUUUAGCCGAAAAAUCCGGAACGGACCGAGAUUUAAAACGAGAUGAAAUUUAUUCCGUUUUGUUUUGUUUUUUGAAUUGUUAUGUAAUAUUUUGGUUAUUCUAAAUAAAAUAAAAUAAAAUAAAGGAAACAAAACCCGAAAAAAAAAAUGUGCUAGUCAAGCUUUAAGAAAUAUUGAAUCAAAUUUUGUAAUAUAAGGACAUGUUAUAUUUUAACGGAGGACAACAAACUAUCCAUGGGUUCAUCCAAGGUUGUUAAAAUCGCGUUUUGACUCGUAAAAUCGUAUGAUUUUACGAGUCAAAACAUGCAUUACGAGUUGAAUUGCUUGAAAAAAUCGAAAAUGGAUAAAAUCGGGUUGAAAUCGAGUGAAAUCACAAAAAUCGGAUGAAAUCGUGCAAAAUCGCGAUUUCAGGACCGAUUUUGUGAUUUGACAAAAUAAGGCCCUGAAACAAAAUCCCCCCUCCUGGACAGCUGUCAGAUACCUAUUUGAUUAUUCCUGCACAGUCACGGACUCACGUGACCGUCUUCACUACCAGCAUUACUCAUACACAGCGUUUCAUGUCUUCCUUAGCUCUCGUGUCUAGCGUGAAUAGGAAGGUCCCCGUGUUGGUCAAGCAGGAAUGUCUAGAACUAGUUGCUACGUGUAAUAAAAAAAACUUUGGCAGAAUAUGAACAAAAUGAAGAAUUACAAAGAUGGAAUCUCUCUCUCUCCUUCCUUCUUCUUAUCUCUUUCACCAUUCAUGCUGCAACCCUCCUGUUGAUUUCUGGAAAUGGUUCAGAACCAUUCCAUCGCAUUCAAUUCCCCUGGAUAUAUUGCUUGUUGGUGUUGUUCCCAAUAUUGUUAAAAUAGCGAUUUUAACACGGCACAAAAAACCUUUUACAAACUCGGAUCGUAAAAACGAAUCGUAAAAUCGCGAUUUUAAUAGGACACAAUUAAAAAUCAAUUAUUUCUGAUUAGGGUCUCAAUUGUUAAGUUUAAACUGUCUAGGGAUUAAAGUGAAAAACAACCAUGCCCAAGGACACAACGACGCCAGCAUUGUUUUAUGGCUUGCACUUUGCAAUACAAUGCAAAAGCUUUGACUCUUCCUUUUUUUUUUUUUAAUCCUCUCCAGUCUCCACCGUCUCUGCUUCCACUUCUUAUUUAUUUUUCCAGAAUACUAUCGGACAAAUUCUAGCUGUCUUUAUUUAAACGCUACCCGCAUCUCUAUUUUUCCUGUCUCGCUAACUCUUUUUUCUCCUUUGCCUCGAACCCGAAAGUUUUUGGUGCAAGUCUGAUGGGAACAACCAUUGUUGUUAAAACCAGCAAAACGUGUAGAAACGGAAACAAAACUCGAAAAUGAUCAAACUCGCAUAAAACUGGGUCAAACUCGCAUAAAACCGGGUUAACUCGUAAAAAACGUUCAAAACGUUACGAUUUCACGAGUUCACUGAAAUGUCACGCCGGGCGAAUGGAAAAUUAGAAAUGAAACAAAUUUGAUGACUCCGUCUCACUUUCUCUAUCUUGAAGAACAACAGAACCAGUAUCAACAGCUGCAAAAGAGAACUCGGGAUCUAACAAGCUCUUAGUCCUCUUGGAUCUUCUUCUUGUAGGAUUCUUUGAUGACUCCGUCUCACUUUCUCUAUCUUGAAGAACAACAGAACCAGUAUCAACAGCUGCAAAAGAGAACUCGAGAUCUACCAAGCGAGUACAUCUUUUUGGGUUUUCUCUUAGCCCAUAAAAAACAGCCUUCUCUUCUUCUUCUUGUCCUUCUUCCGCUUCUUCCUCCGAAGAUGAAGUUGAUUCAGUAUCUUCACUAACUUCAAUAUGGAACUUUCAAUGAGGUGGAAAAGGAGAGGAUUCGCAGAGAUCUAGCGGGGAAUCUUCUUUUGGUUCUUCGAAGACAAGCAAGAUAAGAGACAACUGGGAUGAAUUGAUUGAAUGUCUUUUUGACAGAGAUGUAUCUGGUCACAUGGCUCUCAAGAAAUCACAAAGGGAUGGGUGAUUGAUCAUGGAGAGGGAGGGGAUAUGUUUGCUGCAAAAGACAUCAAAUUGAAAUUAUAUGUCCAUUGAUUCUUGAGUUGGCAAGGAAAUCCAUAUCAUAAUCUAUGCUUUUGUUUCUCUUGGGUGUAUUUGCGGGUGGAUUUCCAUCUUGUAGGUUCUUUUGCUAGGCUGGAUUUAUUGCAAAAACAAAGAGGUUAAAGAGGGUUAUGGUAUUUCUUACCUUGUUCUCUGUUUCACUCGAGUUCCUAAGAACUUAGGUGUUUUACUAGUCAAAUUCUCCAUUCUAUAUUGCUCGGUCUUUGUAGUGCAUUAUAUUUCUUCAAUCCAAGAGCCAACAAAAUCAUUAGUUUAAGUUUAAGAACUAUGGCUGCCAGCUCAUAUAAACUUUGAUUAAGAUUCUUGGAGUGGAUUGGUGUUUCCUCAUGUGGUAUUUUAAGAUGUUAGAUGUUUAUUUUAUGAUUUUUAAUUAAAAAAAUUUAUUUUUGAUUUUAUGAUUUGAGUUUACGAGUCGAGUUUAUAUUGAAUGUUCCGUGUCGUGUUAAAAAAACGUUUUUAACAACCUUGGAAGGAAGUACUAUUUUUAAAUUUUAUUUAUUUUUAUAAUGUAAGAAUAGUAAAAUUGUAAUUCUUGGUGUUUUUUUUUUAAUCAAGAAAACAAGUUUUUCUUGUACUUGGAAAAUGGCACAUGACCAAGGGUAUAUUUUUUUUCAAUCUGAACAGAGUCGGUAUUUUAAAGUUGAGAUUAAAAUUGUUUUUUAAAGUAUUUUUUAUUAUAAAAUAUAUUAAAACAACAUAUUUUUUUAUUUUAUAAUAAUUAUUUUUAAUAAUAAAGUAUAAAAUAUUAAUUUAACGUAAAAAAUAUAUAAAAAAAUUAAAAAAAAAUUUAAAAUAUAAAAACAAACCGGUUUAACGGUCACAAAAGUUCUCCUGUCCUUUUUUUGUUUUGUUUGAUAUGUAGUCCUUGUUCUUUCAGUUAAUAAUACUAAUUACUUUAUUUAUUUAUUUAUUUUUUGAUAUGUAGUACUUGUUCAAGAAAGUUACACAACACAACUGGCAUCCAUGGAUUUCGACUUAUCUCCAAGGUCAGCCCAACAGUUAUUUGAUGGAGAAGCUGGAUCUUACCACACCUGGUCAAGUUCUGAGUUUCCGUUGCUAGCAGAGGAAAAGGUUGGUGCCGGAAGACUUGUCCUUCAGCCUCGUGGUUUUGCUCUUCCCCAUUAUUCCGAUUCCUCUAAAAUUGGCUAUGUUCUGCAAGGUAUAUAUAUGUACCAAUUCAUUAAUUCUCUCCUCCUCCUUCUUCUUACAAAUCAUUAGAUAUUUUUUCUUUUAUUUAUUAUGGUUUGUGAUGGUUACAUUAAGUGGGUCCGGUACAAGUUUUUCUUGACAUGUAUAAUCUUGGUCUCCUGCAGGUAGUGACGGAAUAGUGGGAAUGGUGCUCCCAAACUCGUCAGAAGAGGUGGUGUUAAGAGUCAAGAAAGGAGACGUGAUACCAGUGCCUCUUGGAGCGCUGUCUUGGUGGUACAACAAUGGAGAUCACUCAGAAGAAGUCGUUGUAGUUUUCUUAGGGGAAACUUCCAAGGCACACAUUCCUGGCGAAAUCACCUACUUAUUCUUAAGUGGAGGCCAAGGUAUCAUGGGAGGGUUCUCGACAGAAUUCAUUAGCAGAGCUUAUAAGAUGAACGAAGAGGAAGCGGACAAGCUUGCUAAAAGCCAGACAGGGAUUUUGCUCAUUAAGCUAGAGCCUGGAAUAAGCAUGCCCCACCCUAACAUGGAAAUUGUUGAAAAAAUGGUGUACAACAUUGAUGCCGCUUUGCCUGACGUUGAUGUCAGAGGCGGUGGUGUGUUCAAGGCAUUGACAGCAGCUAGAUUUCCUUUUCUUGAAGAAGCAGGCUUAAGCGUUAACCGUGUGAAAUUGGAAGCUAAUGCCAUGUACUCGCCAUCAUACACCGCCGACGGCACAUUUCAAGUUUUUUACGUUGCUAGAGGCACCGGCCGCGUCCAGGUUGUGGGGAUUGGUGGUAAGCGUGUCCUGGACACCAAAAUACACGCUGGUCAACUACUUGUUCUGCCAAGAUUCUUCGCGGUUGCUCAGAUUGCUGACGGUGAAGGAAUGGAGUUUGUUUCCAUUCUCCCUGGUACAAGGUAAUUGCAAUUUCUAUUAGAAAAUUAAAUUAAUAUAUUGGUUUUAAAAACCUCAUAUUGAAUUAAAUCAUGUUUAUAAUUCAAUCCCAGUAAGAUUCUUGAAGAGUUUGAAUUGCUGUUAAUUUUAAUUUUAAUUUUUUGCUCUUGGCAGCCCCGCUAUUGAAGAGUUUGCGAGCAAGAAAUCAGUGUGGAAUGCUUUAUCUCCAAUAGUUUCACAAGUUGCUCUAAGUGUGACUCCAGAGUUUGAGGAAUUUUUCAUGUCCAAAAUGCAGAAGACCACUAUUCUUAUCCCACCCACCAAAUAAAUCUGAAAAAUUAAUAUUAAUGUUUCUGUAUGAUCGAUCAUCUCCCCUUUCGGUCGAUCAAGU
This 7336-nucleotide long non-coding RNA is filed under the name Populus tremula. RNAcentral's name for it is "long non-coding RNA (PTRE_LNC000305)". Lineage: Eukaryota; Viridiplantae; Streptophyta; Magnoliopsida; Malpighiales; Salicaceae. The record is from RNAcentral.